UUGAAUGUAAAUUGUUGUGUGGAUAAAAUCAGUAUUCAAACCUUCCUUAUAACCAAUAUUUAUCAAUAACAUGGUAAAUUCACUUAAGUAGACAUUAAAAUAAAUUAAAAAAUAAUUUACUAUAUAAUUUGCCUCAAAUUUUAUUUUGUUUCAAAACUAAAAUGUAUCAUGUACACAUUUAUUUAUUUUAUUUUAUGUAUUAUACACAUUAUCUUAUUUGUAUAUGAUACAAAUUAGUGUAAUUUGGUAAAAACAACAAUGGCUUGAUUUAAGAUUUACUUAAGUUGAUUUUAUAUUCCCUCAAACACAUAAUCGAAACACACUUUAAAUACUAUUUUAAACUACAGGCGGUUAAUACAACAACGAAUUCAAGCAAUAAGCAUCAAAGUUUGUAAAGAAGAAAUCGAGUUUCAUGUUGUAUUUGUCAAAAACUCAUAAACACACACAAACAAAAUAAAAUAAAAUAAAAACGAAUCACAUCUGAUGAUUACAUCAAAGAAUUCUGAAACACCUUCAAAGAUGAAUAAACAAAUCAAUAAACUAGUAAAUAAAUAAAUUUCACAUGUAGAAUAAAACACACAUGCAGCUUUUUGCUAAGCAGUGAUCGUGCUGCGAAUGCCGAUGCGGAUUCAAGUUCAUGGCGGCUGGAAUCUUGCGUGCGGUGAAUCGAGAAGCGCGGUUAUCAAAUUCAGCAUUUCGAUUUCUGUAACAAUUGUUUUUUUGUUAAAUUUUUACGAUAAUUUGAGCUCUCGAUCUGGAUUUGGGUCUCCGAUUGCUUCCUGCUGUGAUGCUCUUUGUCCAUAUUGCUUAAUUCCAAGCGACAUUGCGAGGUUUUUCAUCAACUUUGGUGAAGGAGACGUGAUGCAGCUUUGUGUUGAGGAGUGCGGUUUAGUUUUACUUGGUCGUCGGACUUCGGUUUGUACAGUCGCGGAUUGAUUGAUUGAUUACUGAGGCUGAGGCGCUGGAUUUGAUCAACGAGAGGGCACACGCACUCUAACAUGUGGUUUUUGAAAUCCGACCGCCAACGAAGGCUGACUCUCUUCUAACACUUUUGAAAUCAAACCUCGUGACGGUUACAACUAUGUUUCUGAAUUUCUCUGGUUUUUCGGUAGUUUUUUAAGUUCAAUUAACUGCAUGCACGAAUCAUCCUCUUUAAAUUUCUAUUUUUCUAUUAGUUGCAUGCGAGUUUUAUUCCCGGAUUAUUCAAUUCAAAAGUUUAUUCUCAUGAAAACUCCUGAACAUUCUUUUAAAAUAUUACGAGUCGUCUCCGACGAUUCGAAACACCUUUGCUCUCAACGCCGGCUACCUUAUUGUGGAGCAAAGCAUGUUUUACUUGUAGUCUUCGUUUUUGUGAGUUUUGUUUUGUUUGUUAGUUAGUUUGUUUAUUUGUUUGUUUAUUUGUUUGUUGCCUUUGUUUUAUUUUAGGGUUUGGAGGGAACUCCGUUGAAUUGAAGAUAAUUUGUAAGCUUGAUUAUAGUCCUUUGGUGUCUGUGUGUGUGUGUGUGAGAUUAGUUUUGCAGUUCUGUGUAUCUGUCGAACUUGUUAAUUAGUAAUUUUGUUUUGUUUACGGUUUUCUGUUUUUGCCAUUGCAGGUCAAAUUAAUAAUCUUCUGAACUAAUUUCUAACACUUAAAUUAUUUUGAAGUGAACUGUGAUUCUCUUUGUGAACAAAUUUUGUUGAAAAUGUGUUAUAAACCCUUUUAAAUCAAAAGACCAUUUGAAUCUAUGAACAGUUCGUCUUAAAAUGAUAUUAACAUUAAUAAUAAAGGUCUUAACAUAGCCUUGAUUAUUGUUUAAUAAUAUGAUUUUUUAAAAAAUAAAAAUAAAUAAAUUCUAGGCGUACAUGCAGAUAUACAUAUGUGUGUGUACUUUGUUUAAAACUUGAUUUUGUGGAUUUGUUUGUUUUUGUUUUUGUUUUGUUUUGUUUGUUUUUGUUUUUGUUUUUUUUUUUUUUUUUGCAAAGUCCAUUAGAGUUUUAUGUGAUUUUUAUGUGAUUUUUUCUUUUAGGGUGUAUUUGUUUUAGUUUGUAAUUCAUGGUACUAAGCCAAGAACAUAUCAUUAUUUUACACACCAUGAUUACUUACCUCAGAAAUAUAUUAGAAUAUGUUUUUACUAAUAUUUAAUCAUGUUGGUAUUAUAUUUUAUUGACUAUUGAAAUGAAUUUUAAUUUCUUAUUUUGAAAAAAAAAAAAAAAAAAAAAAAAAAACAUAACAAAGUGAUUCACUAACUCUUUCCCAUGUAAUGGAUAUCAAAUGAAGAUGAUGUCAAACAGAAAUGUGAGCACUAAAAUUAUUUACAAUUCAACAAAUGCAACAACAAAAAUAUAACCACCUAUUCUUAUUAUCAUGAUUAUUAUUAUUAUUAUUAUUAUUAUUAAAUUAUUAAAUUAAAAGGUAGGUAAACAAUUUAGAAUGUGAGCUUAUGACUUUGUAUGAUCUUGUGGUGUGGAUUGGUAAGGUCUUGUGGUUGAUCAAGAGAUAAAAUAUUGGUCUAUUUUUUAGGGUUUUCUAAAAGAAGAUUGCAAAGGUGAUAUUCGAAAGUGAAGGGAAACUCAUAGCCAUCAAUCAAUCAAUUGCUAUCAAUCUUCAAUAUUAAAAAUGCUCAUCUUAUAUGCAUGAGGAAUAUAAAUGCAUAAGUAAUACACAUGACAAUUGGGUGUAUAGUGAGUUUCAUGCUCAUAGAAUUUGUAGGUAGAUAUUUACAUAGUAAAAAAAAAAAAAAAAAAAAGGAAAGAUAUUCUCACAAGGAAAAAACCAAAAAAAAAAAAAAAAAAAAAAAAAAAAAGUAGAUAGAGAAUCUACUAUUGAUCAAGUGUUUCAAUUUAUUGGACUACAAAUUUCUAGAUGUUGAUUUUGUUUUUGUAUAUACAUAAAUAUGUAUAUAGAGAUUGUUUUCUUUUUCCUUUUUUUUUCUUUUUCUAUCAUUUGUUUCUUCCAAAGACAUGUAUAAUUGAUGGAUGUGAGUACUGUUUAAAGAGUAUGAUCUUAUGAAAUGAUAUAUUAGUAAAUAAAUUAAUUCGAACACACUAAUUGAUGUGCAUUGUCAAUAUUGAAAAGAUGUUUUAUUUUUUGAAUUAUAUGAGUUUUAUUUUUUCUGACAAUUAUAGUCAGAAAUUAUUAUUAUAGAUUAUGUGUAUUCAUAAUAUUAAUGUAUAUUUUUGAAUUUGAAUUCUUUGAUUUGACCUAAUAUAAGUAAAUAUUCUUAUUUCAUGAAAGACCAAUUACUUAAGAUUGUUACACAAAACAGAAAUAAUCGCUGGUGUAAACUUCAUUUAGAAGGUAAAAAUUAAUUUUUGAAGGCUAAAAACACAAAUAGUUAAAAUAUUCCAUAUUCUUUGAAAAAAAAAAACUAUUCUUACAAUAUAAAAAUAUAUUUUCAAAUUAAGUACUUAGACGUAUUUUAAAAUAUCACUCCCGGAAACAAUUGAUAGACACUUUUGAGAAAUUUCAAAAUCAUUAGAUUCCCAACAACAAAAAAAGAAAAGCAAAAAUUGAAACAAAACAAAUCCAAUAAAAUUACAACAAUUUUGGAAAUUUUGAAUUGAAAAAAUAAAAACAUUUCAUGAAACAAAAACAAUAGAUUGACCUAAAUACAAGAGUGCAAUGGAUUGUGUCACUGUCAAAACUGUUCAAUAAAUCACUCUCUUUCAUUCUUUGUGUCAAUGUUUAUUUUGCACCCACUGUUCAUUAUGGGCCUUGAAGAUAACUAAUAUAUGGUAAUCACAUGGCCAUUGUUCAUUAUAAAAACGCACAUUAAGAUUGUACUUGUCAGGAUUAAAUAUUUUAGGAAAUAGAAUAAUAUAUAUGUAUAUAUAUAUAUAUAUAUAUAUAUUUAAAUAAAUUUAACAAAAAAGACGUGAUUUUUUCACACACUGAGUAUCAAAUAUUUUUUUUUCUUCUUUUUCUUGGCAAUAUUUUGAAUGAGUGAAAGUUUUGGAUUUUGAAAUUAGUAUACAUUGUUUUUUUAGGUUAUUUGUAUCAAUUAUUGACGUACAUCCUACAAUCAUUUUGAAACAAAGACACUGCCAAAGGAUAUGAUUGGCUAUAAAAUAAAAACUUUUCGGAAUAUAAAACAAAACCUCAAAACCCCAAAACCCCAAAAAUCACACAUUUUUUUAUUUAAUUUAAUUUUUUUUUCUAGGUUUAAAAUGAUCAAACAAUCUAUUUUCAAGCAAGACAAAAUGAGCAUCUUAAUCAAAGCAAGCAUCUUUAACGAUGAUUUUUGUAUCUCUAAAUUUGAUAAGGAAGCUAUUAAUUGCAAAUUUAUAAGGGUAGUGUUAGGUGAUCAUGUUUACUUCUAACAAACUACUCCACCAAUAAAAGUUAUGACCAUAAAAUACAUUUUUUAGAGAAUUUAAUACAAACACUUUCAAACAUUUAUUAGUUCAUUAUUUCUUAGAUAUUAAUUGGUGGGUAGCCUCGUUUUUAAAUAUUUUUUACUUGAUUCAAAAGGCUUGUUUUGAGUUGAAUUCAUAAAAUCUUCACAAUAUAUAUAUAUAUAUAUAUAUAUAUAUAUGUACAGUUUUUCUAUAUGACAACACCUGCGAUAUUUAAUGCUAACUUUGAACCACAUUUCUAAAAAAAAUCUAAAACAUUAUUUUUAUAAUUUUAUUUUAUUUUAAUUUGGUACGGUCCCAUGAUUUUUGCUAAACAAAAUCGAACAAUUCCAACAAACAAAAUGAACGAGAUAUUAUUAUUUUAUUAUACAUACAUACAUACAUACAUACAUAUAAAUAUUCAUUUUAUACAAUUUCUUCAUUGUGGCAGUGUACAUGAUUGAAUGGUUUUCAAAAAAGUAGAUAAAAAAAAUUGGGCACCCCACCAUGUGUACCAUGGGAAGAGGCCAUCAAUUCAUUGAUUGUAUAUUCCUUAAAAACUAUGUCUUUUUUUUCUUUUACAAACUUCAUCAUAUAUUUCUUAGAAAACACAUUCAACUAUAAAUAUGAUCAUAACUUACUUGAAACAUCUUAUGAGAAUAAUAUAUAAAUAAAUAUAUAUAUUAUUUUAUUAUUUUCAACAUAUACAUUUCCAACGAAGAAGCCCACUGGACACGUUCUCUCCUAUGGCCGUGCCCAGGCAACCACGGAAAAGACCCACGGAUACAGGACAUGAACGGAGAUAGAACGCACUAGCGGAAGUAGGGUAAGCCCGUCCCCCGUCCCCCGUCCCCAUCCCCUCCCCGCCCCGUAGCCGUUGCCCCGCCUUCUUCACCCGUUCGUUCGUUCGUUCGUCCGCCUGCCGCGACGCCGACAGGCGCGCCCUCGCGGCGAGGGUAAGUGGCAUUUUGAAUUUUACUCUGCCGCGGCUUUGUUUUCACGGCACUCGCGACGAAUUUAGCGACGAAGAAGCAAGCAAAGAGACAGACAGAGAUAGAGAGCCCGAUUGAGUGAGCCCGAGAGUCAGAGAUAGAGAGCCUGAGAGAGCUGAGAGAGAGAUAGGGAGAUAGAGAGACUGAGAUCGAGGUUGAGUGAUAUUGAAUGAUGAAGGGGCCGAGGGGGCGAAUGAUUUUGGUGAAAGCAGUAGCAACGCGGGGCGAUGGACACGUGAGAGCGUGCGCUUGAGCUCCGCUCGCCGAGUGAGGAAGGAGAUGUAUCAGCAGCUGUAUCACUUGCGGCUGAUUCGGGGGUGAAGAGCAAGCCCGCGAUGGCGUCACCACGUAAUGAUGUUGCCACCUUCAAGGAGAUCCGGUAUCGACGCUGCUGCUGCUGCUGCAUUUUGUGAUAGGCACUUGGGAUUGUGAGCUUUGGUUGUGUCGUGGUUGGUAUGGAUUAGGGUUGGGGAGUAGCUAGUGAUUAGCUGGUGGUUUGAUUUUGGUUGUGUGCCAGGGAUAUAUACGGGUUCGCCGUUCGGCAACAGCAUUUGGAGCGGUAUCGUGAGUAUGCGAGUAUUUACAAGGUAUUGAUGGACGGGGGGGGGGGUGUGUGUGUGUGUUUGUGUGUGUAUUUUGGUUUUGAUGUUUUGAAACGUUUUUUGUGGUGCGAUUUGUUAGGGUGAUUGUGUCGCUUGAUUGUUUUUGAGUUGUUGUUGUACGGGUUUGUAAGGCGUGUGGUGGACAAUUGGCUGCGUAGAAAGAAGAAGUGGAGCGAUCGGACCGAUGGGAGCAGUUUUUGUGUUCGCUGAAAAAGGAGGAAGUGGAAAAUGGUGAAGCCGAGCCGUCGGAGGGUUGUGUCGUUAAUGGAUUGUGUAGAGGUGCGGUUGGGAUUGAUGGUAAUUUGGAUGGGAAUUUGCGAAGGUUCGGCUCGCACAGGAGUUCCUUGGCGGCUCUAGAACAGGAGUUGAAGAACCUUAGGAAGAGGAAGGCAAGUAGGCUAAACACGGACGGUAGCAUUGCCUUGGAUUCGGAAGGAAAUGAGAGCGGAGUAAAUGGCAAUGGCAAAAUUGUGGGUGCUGGAGGUGGUCCCAGAGUUGAAGAAGAUGAGGAUUCUGAUGACGAGUUUUAUGACGUUGAAAGGACAGAGGUUGUGUCUGACGCAGGAGACCAGAGUACUAGUGAUGUGCUGGAACCGGCUCCUUGGGUUGAAGAGCUUAAAGUACUUGUUAGUGGUGGUGUCCCUGUGGCGCUGAGGGGAGAGGUAUGUCCUGUCAGCCGGUGGAGUUCACUGCACUGUGUUGCUCCAGUGAUGAGUUUAUUUGAAUACCAGUUCUAGCUUGUUGCUAGAAUGUACUCUUUAGUUUUACAGACGUCUGGCUCUUUCAUAGGACGAGGUGAAAGGUAUCUAAGAAUAUCUUGGGAAUUCAGUUAUGGCAGGUGUUCACGGGUGCAAAGGAUCGGCAUGUAAAUGGUUACUAUCAGGAACUCCUCGCCCGUGAAGUUGAUCACGUCAGUAGUUGCGAUGGUUCAGUUGAAAAUAACCUCGUGACAGAGAAACCUCGCGCUGUUGAAAAGUGGACUGCUCAAAUCGAGAAGGUGAAUGAAAUGGAAAAUUCAAACUUUUCACUUGCAUUUUUUUUUAAAUGUUUUUAAUGUUUUUAAUGUUUUUAAUUUUAUUUUUAAAAUUAAAUUAUUAUUUUUUUUCCUUCUCAGACUUAGUCUUGGCUAAAGGGUCCUUGUAGCUGUCAAAUAAUCAGCUGGAGUAACCUAAUUAAGUUGGCGUUCUUUGAUAUCAGGAUCUACCCAGGACUUUCCCUGGUCAUCCUGCUCUUGACAAGGAAGGUUUAAACGCUCUGAGGCGCAUGCUCACGGCAUAUGCCCGCCACAAUCCUUCUGUUGGAUACUGUCAGGUGCGGGUUCUUCUUUCUAGCGUGGUGAUCAUGUGGUGCGUAAGUCUGGCUCGUGCAAGUCCGAUAUCUAUAUACAAAUGCGCUGAAUGUGGACAGUCUUAAUCACCUGAUCGUUGCACAUUUUUGCCUUAACAUGGUUUAGGCCCUAAACCAGCAUUUUGAAAUGCCUUGAUCUGCAUGCAAAUUACUGAGGAGCUCCUUUUUGUUUUUUGAUGCAGGCAAUGAAUUUUGUUGCUGCACUUCUGUUACUCUUAAUGCCUGAAGAAAAUGCAUUCUGGUACGUUCCUGCGAUUCAAAGAUGGUUGUAUUAGUUAACCUAAUUUAUUAGUUGAUUUUAGACAGGCUCAGAUAAGAGCUUGCACUUGUGAAUUCCGUGGUAUAACAUUGCUGCUGGCUUUAGCAUGCGGUAUUAAGUGUAGCUAAUUACACAGAACUAGCACACUUGUGGGUUCCGGGCCCUGUUUCUAGAUACACUUACAAACGUGACGAAAACUGUCGCAAUGAAUUCUGUAUCAUAACCUUACAUGGGAAUUCUAACAAUUAAGUGAUGAUAUUUUCACAAGCAUUGAUGUUUUCGUGUUUUUUUUACAGGACGUUAACUGCAAUUAUCGACGAUUACUUUGAGGGCUACUAUUCAGAAAGAAUGGUGGAAGCACAGGUUGGCAACGAAUGACCUGAUAUUUUUUUCUCCUCAUUUCUAUUCCAAUCCUUCAUCUUCCUAUGGAAAUGGGUUUGCGAUGCUUCUGUUUAGCUAUUUCGAAGUUCUUAUCCUGUUUUUAAUUGUUAUUUUGUUGAUACUAGACACUGGAUUUUGCAAACCUCUUGAUUUUUGUCCAAGUUCUUUUGUGUCUACUCCGUGCUUACUUACUCGGUCCCUGAGCAGGUAGACCUACUUGUAUUUGAGCAGCUGGUUCGCGAACGGUUCCCCAGAUUAGGUGAGUCGUAUCAUACUCUUGAUUUUUUACCUACUUGAUUUCGUUUAGUAUAGGAUAUAAUAGGAAUUCUCAGAAAAAUUGCUAAUGUAUUUGUGUCAUUGCAGCAACUCAUCUGGAGAGCCUUGGAGUGCAGGUAGCAUGGGUUAGUGGCCCUUGGUUCCUUUCCAUCUUUGUGAACGUCGUACCAUGGGAGACUGGUAUGUCAUUUUUAUGAUAUCAUAUUUUUUGUAAUUUAAAGCUUUAGUUUUUGGAGGCAAUAUUGACUCGUCGACAAUACAGAGGAGGAGAAUCUUGCUUUUUCUUUUUUCUUUUUUCUUUUUUGUUUUGUUAAAUAGGAAUGUCAAGGCCGUCUAACCUCCAUCAGAACCUUCAAUAUUUAAUGCUGGAAUAUAGAUGUAGCAUCAAACGGUUGCGCAAGGCCUACUAUAAUCUGCAUUUUUCUGAUGUACGUCCUACUAGGAAUUCUGAAUUGACUCUGGAAACCAAUCUGGCUUGCAGUUCUGAGGGUAUGGGAUGUCCUCUUGUACGAAGGAAACCGUAGCAUGCUGUUCAGGACUGGUCUGGCUCUCAUUGAAAUUCAUGGUAAGAUAAACGCGCUGUUAAUCUGUAAGAUUGGGUAAAAGUUUGUGCUUGUCACUUUGCUGUAUCCUACGGUUUUUUCCCUCUCUUUUGAAAAGAGUUUUGUGAAGUGGUAAAGUAGUACUGACCAGGGACUUUAUUUGGUAUUACCAAAAGCCGGAGCAUUGUUGCAACAACGCGACACUGGUGAUGCAGUAGCAACGCUUCAGUCAAUGGGUGAGACCACGUUCGACAGCAGCGAGCUUGUCUUGUUGGCAUGCCUGGGGUUUCAAGAAUUCAAUGAGAAACUUCUGCAGGAACUUCGCACCAAACACAGACCUGUUGUGCUUGCUGCGCUUGAUGAAAGGUCGAUGGAGCUUAACCUUUGGCGCUCUGCAAAUGGCAUCGGAUCUAAGCUAGACAAAUUAAGGACCUCCUUUGAUCGCGCAAUAAUUGCCAACAGCCCUGGUGGGACAAAAGCCUAUCUAGAUCUUGAAGAUGGGAAUGAUACUGACAACGACGGCACUGACCUUCAGGAACAAGUAUGGUCGAAUGUCUAGUUGAAGUUAUUGAGAAAACGGGUCGGUUGGCCAGAAAUGGUUUAACAGAAAUGGGGAUUUUUUUUUUUUUUUUUUUUUUUUUUUUUUUUUUUUUUUUAUUGUCAAUGCCAUAUGAAUCUUUUAACUAUUGCUGCGGCACCCUUUGUACUGUUGAUUCUUUAAACCCAAAAGUCUUGACCUUGUUACUGUCGUUCACACUGUUGGGUUUUUGAUGCUUAAAAGCUCAUGUAGGAAAGAUCCGCUUACAGGGCACACGUUUUGACGUGCCUCCACUUUAUUCACAUGCUUCAACGAACUGGUUACAGUGAGCAUGUGGUGCUUUUUCUAAUUAAGUUGAACUUGCGUUUUCAAUUCAAUUAUCAGGUGACCUGGCUGAAGACGGAGCUUUGUCGUGCCCUUGAGCUUGCAAAAGCAUCAGCUCAAAGGUAAUUGUUUUCGUGUUAUAUCUGUAUCAAGAGCAUUCUUUGACAAGUUCAAGAUCUGGAGCACAGAAGCUGUGUUUACAAGUGGAUGUUGCUUGCAGAGCCGAUCAGUUGGAAACGGCUCUGAUGGAGAUGGUGAAAGGGGACAACCGACGUUUGCUUUCUGCUCAAGUAUGAUAAACUACUCAAAUUUUGUCAUCCGUUUGAAAGUUCGUUUACGAUUUUGGAUUCAUAUUAACGUUUAUAAACUCGUCGAAUAAAGUUUGGCAUUUUUAUGUCCGAAACCUAAGAUAUAGUUCUCCAGUUGAAGCAUUUCUAGUACGCUCGGUGGGUGCUUCUAGAAGUUGAUACUAAUGGGGUUUAUGUUUUAGGUGGAGAGUUUAGAGGCCGAGGUUGACCAGUUGAAAAAGGGAUUAGCCGAGAAGCAAGAACAAGAGGCAGCCAUGGUUCAGGUUAAUCUCUUCUCGCCACGUUCAGGGUUAUUUGUUCAAAUGCCAUUUUUUUCUGCAGGAACUGGAACUUAUUACUGGGAAGGUUAUUUUGGCAUUUGUAGGUGUUGUUGCGAAUGGAGCAAGAGCAACACGUUGCAGAGGACGCCCGCCGAUUUGCGGAGCAGGAGGCUGAGACGCACCGGCGUACUGCUGAAGAAGCGGAGGUAUUUUAUUGUGGACUUCAAACCUUGUUAUGAUGUUUAUUUUGUGCGACUCUUCGAAAUUUUAUAUUGAAUAAAUUGAUUGUGACGUCCGUUGGAAGCUCCUCUUACAGUCACUAAAUUUGUAUCUUUCGUAUUUGAUUUUUUAUUGUAACUCACUUCCGCGAUGUCGUUUUUAACAUCAUAUUGUCUCUUGUGCCGUGUAGAAAACAGCUGCCGAGGCGGUAGCUGCUCUGUCAGCUAUGGAAAAGAGAGCUAUUAUGGCAGAAAGCAUGCUAGAGGCAACUGUCAACUUUCAAACUGGUGGUCCACAAAAUUUCAGACGCAACUCCGAUGAUAGUGCAUCUAGGGGCAUGUAUCGCUCUCAUAGCUCUCCUGCGUCCAAGUAAUUCUCUCUACUCAUUUCAGACUGCUGUCUUUACUGAUGAGGACACCUGGAUUAUGGCGGUUAAAUGAAUUUAUUUCUUUUACGCAACCCUACUAAGUUAUUUCAGUACCUUCUUGCUCUCUAAGUUACACCUGGUCAGUAUAAGUCAGCUGAUCUAGAAUACGUUAUCUUUGGGCCUUGGGGAUAGAGAUUCUGAUUCCGUUUGGGAAAGAAGAAACAGCACGGGCAAGAUGGAAGGGGCAGAAGACACUCCCAAUAACACUGCUAGUAAGCCAGGUCUCUUUGGCCGUCCGUUCUCAUUAAGCUGGCGGGACAAAAGCAAGGUAUUAAUUUUGUGUGUGCUUCGACCUCGUUUUCCUUCAAGAUGUUGAUUUGCACAUGUCUGAUUUAUUUCCUUCGCUGUAUGUGCUUGCUUUAGGAAUUUAUGAUUUUUUCUUGUUAAUCAUGCAGCUUAGUGUGGAGGUGAAGGCGAAUGAGUCGGACAGAAUGCUCGACCGAGUCCCAUUUUCUGCACCCUCGAGCUUAGGCACUGAGCAUAUCCACACCAAACCAAACGACAGUUAAAAUCAAUAUAGAUAGAUAUAUAUAUAUAUAUAUAUAUAUAUAUAUAUAUAUAUACACAAUCAGUUAGACUGAGGAAUCAGGUAAUUUUGUUAAGGAAGAUCAUUUUUGAUCGGUCAUUUUCGUUCCUAGUAUGAAUUGUUGGUUUGGAAAAUCUCCAGCCUCAACUUCGUGUAGUUGAGUCUAUUCCAACUUCCUGGAGCUAAGCAGUGGUUUGUGGCUUCCUUUUUGAAGAUAUUUUCAUGGUCAUUUUGCACAUUUCGGCUCACUUGAAGUGGGUAUGCGACAUAAUCAAAUCAGCAUGUUGCUGAAAUUUGUGUAAUCGCUUCACACCAUUUAUCACUUUCAAUAUAUCGAGUUCCUUCUUAAAAUCUUUGAAAUACUAUAAGUUAAUAAAGCACAAUGCUUAAUGUGCGACCCAGGUCAUAUGAUCUUAAUCUUCUCCUUUUCUUUCAAUGUAGUGGAAUGAUUUGGCUUGGUUGCAAGGUGAUUGAUGGUGAUUUGUUCAAAAGACGUGGUGGUGAUGGUGGUGACUAGUUUUACAGAGGUCGUUUCUCUGUAUCCUAAAUGACUAGCCGUGAAAAUAUUUAUUCGAUCAGUCAUAACCAGAUACGAAGUAGUUAUUUUUUUUCUGAUAAAGGUAUGUCGCUAAUGUUUCUUAAAACAUGUAUUCCUACCUAGAAGAUGUACUGAGUGUAAAUUUUAUGUUGACCGUUUAGAUAUUCAGUUAGCUUCGGUAAACUUAAUUACUUUAAAUCAUCAUAGGAUAUGCGUUUCAUAUUUUGGCUUAUUAUAUUUCUAUAGUUAAACAGAAAUCUUCUAUUGGAUUCAAUUUUGUUUGAGAUAUGACCUGCAUUAUGAAAAGUUGGUUUCUUUCUACUUUCCCUCUCGAUUGCAGCAAUCAAAAAUAUGUUGUAAUUAAGUGUAUUAUUAUGUGGAAAAUGUUAUUUAAUUUAAAAUCGCAGAAAAAGUCUUCCUUGAAUAUCUAACAUUUUAAACAUAUCCCCAAUAAGCACUAAUCUGGAAACGUAUUUCUGGUCCGGUCUGUUUCAUACUCUCACCAGUUAAUGUGUAAAACUUUUACGUUGGACUUCAUAGACACCUUUUCUUGCACGAUGAAGUAUGUUUGAAUGAUUAAAUUCAGAUGAUAUAUAUAAUAUAUCUUAUAUCUUUUUAAAACGUUAAAAGAAAUUCACAUUGUUUAGAAGGCAUAGACUUGGACUUGUCAACUUCUGUGAUAAGUGAAAACAUGAAGAAUAAACGCUUGUAUAAGUUAAUUCAAUCUUCAGCCGGCACCUUAUCAAAAAUAUGUUUAAGGUAAUUUUCUAUUAUUUAGGUAACAUGGGUAAUAUAUAUAUAUAUAUAUAUAUAUAUAUAUAUGUUUUUAAAAUUCAAUUGAAAUCGCUUCUAGACAACUUGAACAUUAGUUUGUCCCAAUAUUUGGUACCAAUAAACUUAAAAAAUAGGCAAUAAAAGCUGUCUUGAAUUUAAGAAGCUCAUGUCAAAUGCAAAAAUAAAAGUUAAUUGAUUAACCCUGUUGGUACAGAAGACAUUACUCAUUCCUCAACUAAGUCUAGCCUCGUCUCUUUGUUUAUGUUCGCUAUUUAUUUUCCCAUGAUUGAAUCUUGAACGGCCAGCAUGGGCUUCAAUGUUAUCUUGAUAAUCACGAGUGGUGAAGAAACAAUUUCACCUAAAGUAAUGAUAUCAAGCACAAUGCACAUACUACUAAGUAAACCUAGAAUAUAGGUGGAAGUAAAUACGUUCUUUUUAACAAAUUUGGAAACGAAUUAUUAACAUUCAAAUGAAAUAAUGGCAUCCAAUAAUUCAUGUAAUUGAAACAGAGUAUACUAAAUUCUUGAACAUGUACCAUACUGCCACGUAGCAUGAAUUGAAAUAAGAUUAAGUGCUAAAUUAAGCAGAACUAACUGAAAUAACUUAAUUUUUUCCCACGUGACGAAGUGACCAAGUAUUUCACGAAUCUUCUGAAAAAACCUUAAGAUGAGCGUCAUGACCACAAUCAUACAAGCGACGGGUUCUGUUGAGCAAGGCUUCCCAGUUGACCACAAAAUGGGAAAAAAGAAAAAAACAAACAAACAGAAAAUGAAACAAUAUUUGUCAGGCAUAUAUACUAGGAACACUAAAUAAGGCAAACUGUUUUAGAAUUCCCUGAGGAUAUACAAUAUGUCCAGAUCACCAGUCUCGCUUCAGAGGAUGAUCUGGUACCAUUACUGGUGAAACUUACAUUGCUCCUGAGUACAACCUACUAAAUUCCUAUCAUAAUUUUGAGACAGGAUUUUUAAAACCCGACUUAUUGUUAGUAAUAUAAGAUACAACGACAGUAAUGUCAUCCAUUUUGCCUCCAUAGAACCUAAACCCAGCCUCUUGAGCAGCAGUCGAGAAAGGAGUUUGCCUGUUCCGAUCCUCGGCUCGCUCCCUUGCAAGAGCAACAAUCUUUUCGGCCGUAACCUGGGGAUCUAACCCAGCACGUGUAGAAUGGAUAACAACUCCCACCAACUCAUUAUCGUACAAAUUGUCAAACAGCCCAUCCGUACCUGCAACAAGUACAUCCCCUGCGGCAACUUGCAAAGAGAAUACCUGCAGAAGCCAAUCGUUAAUGUUGACGACAAAUCAAACCUUCAUCCUAAUCAUGAUCACAACCACAAUACACAAAGACAGAGAUAAAACACCCUGUCCAACUACCUUUCCAACAUGCACCGUCACAGAUUAAGAAGAGCUUUUGCACAAACAAAAGAAACUAUUUACCAUGAAGAAGACCUAACACAGAAAGGGCAUCGGUGAACAAAUAAACCAAUGUAUUACAAGUAAAUUAUCAAGCAUAGUUACCUCAGCAGCACUAGGAGGAUCACUGCCACCACUUUCCAAUUGAAAAGGGAUAUUAAAUUGGUGCUGUUGAACUGGAGACUUGAAAACGGUUCGACCAUUUCUCAUCAACAUAAAUCCACUAUCUCCAAGAUUAGCAGCUUGCAACCCCUGCGAACAUAACGGGCAGAAAUUAACGAUUGACUACGAAUAAACUAUCUUUGAAUCAUUCGAAACAACACAAACUAUCUGUAUCUCAUGUUAGAUCCCAAGAGCAUAUUCUAAGCAAUAUUAAGUUCAUUACCAUCAGUUCUCAAAAAAUCACCAAAAGCGAUACUGCCACGGCUCUUACAGAAGUAGGGAAAUGUCGACAACUAAGACACAUACAUAAAACAGUAAUGACACGUGAGUGUUUCACAAACAAAUCGGUAUCAAAUGCUUCACAACAAACGAACAAUCAGCGUAAAAUGUAAGACUUACGUAAUCAGAGAGAGCAAGAAUACAUGCCGUGGAUGAACCAGGGCAUUUCGUCCUUGCAUGAGCCCGAAACAUGACGCGAGCUGGAUCUAUGUACCCAUGCGGCUCCUGAGCAACCGCUAUCCUUGACUGUAACAUAAGCUCCCUGGCAUAAUCACCAGCGUCAACUCCAACAUCAGCCCAACCUCCAACUCCGUCUGCUACCCCCACUACCUGUUCCUCCGAACAUAUAAAGUACGCAUCUUCUCCUCCAGUUUUCACUUUCUUUGGAUGUGGUAGACAGCACGCACCAGAAAGUAACCGGAGACUUCGGUUCUGAACUCCUUCGCUGCAGGACAACACUGAAAAUGUGAGAACCAAAGAAAAAGUAGGAGGAAAGGAGAAAGAAGCGUGUCGAUUAUUCGCAAUGACCGUCCGGGACAAAGCAUGCGCGAUUUAUCCAUACAAAAAAUUCCUUAAAGAACAAGAAAAUACGCGCCUACAGUAAUAUCCUCUGUAAACAGUGUGUCAGAACUGUUUAACAGCAAGUGGAAACCGUUCAAGAAGUUCGGUGUAUAAAUACCUUGCCGAGGCCGAUGCAAAGUACAAAAAAUAUCAUCAACAAAGAGUAGAUAUCUUCCAGGUAUACCUUCGAAGAAUCGCAUUUUACGGGGCAAAACGGUAGCUAUUUUAAGCGGGAUUACUACGUAGAACAACUGGAAACAUUCACUUGAAGAAAAAUGUUCAAUGAAACAAGUGAAAGAAUAAGAAUAGGUUGCCCUUACUCGUCCAAAUUUCUUGGUUGGUCCUUGGUAUAAUCAAUUUCGUGGGGCCCAUCAACUACCGAACCAGGAGACUCAGUACUCGCCAAUCUCGGAUUAGACAUGGAUUUGACAUGUACAUGUUCUUCGACAAACAGAGACAUCCUAGGGUGGAAUAAAUGACGGGCAAUUGAGUGAUAAAACGACUUCCGGAAAGCCAAUGAAAUGUGUCUCGUGGAUUUGUCGAGGGGCGCACAGUGAAGAAGGGAGACAGUCCCAACAUCUACUUCCUGCAAAUCGGGGCCACCGUGUCCUUCAUCCAAUCCAUCAAAGCUCCGUGCAACCAGUGCACGGCUAUCUGGUGAAACAAUUUUUCUUAAACUGGGAAUAAAAGCUUCGUUCCCCACAGAUCCAGUCGUGUCUGUGGUAAUGCCUCCGUCGCACACUCUUUGCUCUUUCCAUACAUUCUGCGGUCCGGAGGAUAAUGAAGUUACGACCUGCUUAGGCACUUUCCUAUCUCUUUUCUGCGAAGGAACACCCCCAGAAAGUUGGCCAGUCAGCAAAUAUAGCCCCGUCUCCGAUAGCUCCUGUAGACUGCUGCAGCUGGCCUCUCUUGCGGUCUCGAGAGCGUUACAACUACUACUAUUCAACAAAGGUCCAUGGACUGAUGGAGUAGCAAACACGCGAGAGACGGCUUCAGAGGCCGUAAGAGCCUGUUGUUUGCUGGAAUCAAAACUCGCAGGAUUGUGAUCUGCUGAGGGUGUUCGGCUGCUCGAAAAGAACUUCGAGAAGAAGGAAGGAACAAAAGGGUGCCGAGAGGGUUGGUAGCCACCAGGAGUAGUAGAAGAGCCUGUCACCGACGGUUUAGUAUUUCGAGCACUGGGCGACCCUUUACCGAACAGGGGCUUGACUCGUCCUCCUUGAAACAGUUCUCCCUUGUAACCGGAAGUUGAUUUUAGACUGGCUUUCAGCUUCCAAAAAGUGUGCAGCGAUGGCAUUUUUGAGGCACCGAAGUGGAUGUAUACAACUCUAAGAGCUUAAAUCAUGAGAUCAAAUCUUGAAACAGCUGCCAUAAGGAACGAAACUUCCAUGCUCGUUCAAAAACCUACCAGAAUUAUUAUCGCAAUUAACUCUGCACAUCCCAAUUUCAAGAUUCAACCCCAAAGAAAACGGCCACGCUUUCCUUAAGACCUCCAUACCUCACAAGCAACACUACUUCCUACAAACGACAACGGAGAGAAACAGAGGAAAUUUUAAUUUAAUUUUAAUUUUAAAAAAAUAUACGUUUACAUACAUGUAUAUAGUAAAAAUGUCAGAAUGUUUAUCGGUUGUGACUGGUACGUUUGGUAGAUACCAGUCAACUCUUUGAACCCUAAAAAUUAAACUUCUCUCAGAUGAGCUAGGAACAUCAAUUCCUACACAGGGAAGAGGACGGUAUCCUACCUGUCCAAGCACAAACAGCCCCAACACCAACAAAAAGCUACAACAGAUUCAAAGUCCCCUGGAAACCACGCCACCCGCAUCUGACCUCGAUCGAACCUCGUGAAAUAACGCAAUCCAGCAGCACAACCUAAACAGCAGUCGGGGGAUAACACUGUACCUAACACGUCGUCUCCGCCCACACACAACGCCAGGCCUUCUUACAGACAGCGAAGCAGUGAACUCACCGGAAUCCUCGCAAUGAGAAACGCAUCACGCAGCCAAGACCAAGCAACACAAACAAACAAACACACACACAUAUACACACACAAAACCGAGCCAGUUCUAGACAAGCUUACAAAGAUCAACGGCACCUAUUAAUGAUGCAUUUUAGCCGACGCGUGACGGUGAGGAAUGAUGGAGCAACUGAAGCAAAAGCGCCAGCAGACGAUGGGUGGUGUCCGUGUCGCGACACAGACGACUGGUGGCUGAGAAUGGCGGAGGAGACUGACUAGCGGCUGCUGCUGCUACGAAGAACCUGGCUAUGGCGAUUUAGGGCUGGCUAGGCCUGUUUGUUUGUUUGUGUGUUUGUAGAGGAGGCCGAGGACGACGAGGACACAGGCGAAUGACGGUGAUAAUGCCAAGACUAUGCCCGCUGCCAACGCCAAUCCCCAUCCCAUUUUUCAUCCUUCUUAAUAUCCGUCCAUUUAUGUACAUUCAUCUGUUCAUUCCGCAUGUUUUCGUUCUUCAUUCAUCAUGACCGCCCUCCCCUCUGCCCCUGCGGAUGAAUGCUUCUUCGCCAAGGGAUGGAUCCUUUCCCACGGGGCGGUUCCGUCUCCCAUGACCGUGGACCCUCCCCCACCCACACUAAUUUCUCCGCUCCUUGCCUCGUGGUUUUUUCGGAGCAAAUUUGGCAUGUGGUUUAGUGAAGUUGUAGAGAUUCAUCUUUGAUUUCACUGUUAAUUCCAUUUUUUUGUGUUUCUUUAAACCUGGUAUCCGUGAGAUUUAACCUUGUGGUUUUGAGUAAAAAUAAAAAUAGUUGUUUGCAUAACAAUAUAUGCAUUUUGUUUUUAUUUUAUUUUAUUUAUUAGCUAAGAUGUUUUUUUUAUGCUAUUCAAAUAUGUUUGAUGGUUAAAGUGAUGUUAGCCAUGGUGUCCUCUUUUGAAUAAAAACACACACACACAUGUAUCUCUUAUAUAAAAUAAUUCUAAUAGAUAAACCAAAAGAGAGAAAAACCAUCUCUAAUUAGCUACAUGUCUUGUUGUUUUCAUCAAAAGUGAAGCAAUAACUCAACAUUUGAUCAAUCAAAGAUCAAAAUCUACAUAUUGUUGUUGUAGUUUGCUAAGAGUAGCACUACAAGAUUAUUAGGCAUAAAGCUCAGAAGCCCCCAAUCAUAAUUUUCAAUAAAUAUUUUUAUGGCCUAUGGCAUGUGUUUCAACUAGUAUAUAUAUAAGAAAAUGUUCAAUAGACCCAAGUUUUUACUAAAUCAAUCCACCCAUUGUAACCAUCAUGAAGUAAUAAUGAUUUUUGGAUUCAUUUCUCUAUUAUUAGAUUAGUGACCAAUAAAAACCAACCACAUUCAUCAUGAUUAUCAUAUUCUUCAUCAAAAGUGAUCUUUUCAGUAAAAGCAUGAAUUUAUUUAACAUUUCAUUGAAUAUAUAUAUACACAUGCACAUGAUGUAUAUCAAUGUGAUUUCAAGUGUUACCUCUUCAAAUUUUACACAAAAGUAUAAGUUUCAAUAUUUAAAAGUAUAAUGGAUAUUACUUUUAGCAAUGCCAAUAUUUGUACUGUUUCUAUUUAUGUCCAAAAUAAAGAAGUCAGUGUUCUAUGUUGUAAAAUUAUUUUUUAUUUUUUAUUUUUAUUUUUUUUUCAUUUUGUUUCAAUUUGGAUGAGAUCACAAUGCAUUAUGCCUGUAGAGCUGUGUUUUUCAUUGAACAAGUGUGGAAUACAUGAUUUUUUAUAAAUCAAUGAAUAAUAUUACUUGAUUUAUAUAGCAAUGUUAUUAUAGAAUAUUUCCUUUGGUAAAUAUUGUUCUUUUGUAGUGACAUUAAUGUGCUCAACCGAACUCAAUAAAACAACACAUCUUCUUCCAUAAAGUGAUACGUCAAGUUUGGUUUGAGGUGGUUGUACUGUUUCUCAUGAGAUGAAUUAGUUUAUUAGUAUUCAGUUGUUUUAAUACAGCAUUGCCACAGUACACGACAUUUUAUUUAUUUUUAUUUUAGAUUGACAAGAAGUUUCGAAAGCUUCAACGCUCUAACAUUAUAGUGUCCAAAACUCUGGACCACACAAGCAUUGGAACAUUUUGUUCUGUUCUAUUUUGUUUUGUUUCUCCCAUGGACACAUCUCAAACAAUUACUUUUUAUAAAGUAUAAAAGUUUCGUUGAAUUUUUUUUCAAAACUAAUAUCGAACCAUAUCACUAGUUCAUUAACAUUAAGAACAAUGUUCACAUGCAAAAAAUCUGAACUGAACUGUUAGGGUCACUGUAUCAUACAAAAAUAUGAGAAAAAACACAAAACUGUAAAUCCCUUCACAAACGACGUGUUUAACAUUCUUAAACAUUUUAAAACUCUGAUAAUUCCAGGUUUGCAGGGCACAGAGGAGAGAAGACCCAAAACCCGCGCCUAAAUGCACACACACACAGUCACCUAGUCAUCAAUUAACCAAUGCACGAAGCGCAUCAUCCACCACACAUCCAUCCACCACCCAUCUAUACAUCCAUCCACCACACAUCUAUACAUCCAUCCACCACACAUCUAUACAUCCAUCCACCACACAUCUAUACAUCCAUCCACCACCAACCAUCAUAAGGGGAUUCAUCCAUCCACCGAGAACGUAUCCAUCCAUCCAUUCAUUCAGUGAGAAAUGGUGUCGUCCAAAUGGUGUCCGACUCUGGCGCUCAUUUGAAAUUGGAUGGUGUUGGGGGAGAAACGACAAACGAGGAGGAAGAGUGGCGGGCGAUUCACCACAAACGGGCCAUACGCGCGGUGUGUGAGUGAGUGGAACAGGGAGGGAAUAUACAGCAAGAGAGAGAACAAGAGAGAUAGGAAAAGAAGAAGAAGGCGCAGGAAAGGCAAAGUAGGCAAAGGCAAAGGAGGGAACGAGGUGGGGGUUCCAGUAUUGCAUUAGCUCGUGCUGCCCAGUCGUCUCGCGCGCUCUGCUUUCUCGCCUGGCCUUGCGCUAUUGCUGCUGCUGCUGCUAUCGUCGUCGUCCUCCUCCUGCUCUCGUGAUUGAAGAGGUGGUAGUGGUAGUGGUGGUGGUAGUGCACGAGCACCUGGACGUGGUUCUUUACUCUCUCUCUCUCGCUUCUUCUCCGGCUCGCUCGCUUGAUCAAUCCAUCCCUUUCUUCCUGCCAUUUUCCCUCGCUAGGGUUUCCUUACUUUUGCAUUUUAUUUAUUUUGUAUUCUGAGGAAAGUGCGGAGCAGUGGCGGACUUAGACACAUUAGCUCUAUCUCACUCCCGUUUUUUUUUUUUUUUGGUAUUGUUUUUGGUAUCGUUUUUGGUGCCUCGGAGACUGUCUCUUCCAGUCGUGUCGUGCCGUGUCGCGUCCUUUCUUCUCCCUCCGUUUGCGCCCCGAUAUGUUUUCGUCACGCUCCCUCCCCCCCCCUCCCCUCCUACCAUUCUGGAAACUCUUUAUCUCUGCCAGUACGCAUGGAUCGGCCCGCUCGAAGCCCUUGAAGCCUGUUUUGCUGCAGAUGCUGUGUUGUUCGUAAUGUCAGAGUGAGUGAGUGAGGGUGCGUGCACAUAGGGUCGACUGAAGUGUCAGGGAGCUUGUUUCGAAGGUUGAUAUUCUGAUUCGAUUGCGCGAUGUACUUGUGCGAUUUCUUGAUCGGGGAUUAGUAGCGGGUUGGCGGACAAGGCAGCGGAGCGGGCUGCGCUGACUGUUCCGGAAGAUUGGACGGGUUUCAUGCGACGCUAUUACAUGGACUUGUUGUAGAAAUUUUGAACUGCGUCCGUAUUCAACAAGAACCAAUGUCAGAAGGCAAGUCUACCUCUCUUACUCUUUAUCUUAGUUCCGGAUCUUGGCAUGUGACCCAGCAUGUAUUCAAUCUCGCGGUGUUUCUGUGACCAGUUGUACCUUGCGUAAACCGUUAGCAUCAUUCGGAAGCACUGCCAGUCGAGCUCGUCCCGUCACAGUAGUUAUUCCACAUGAUUAGAGGAGAUACGAUGGCGCAGUUCAAGCGCUAGAUCAGCAUUUCUUCUGGAGACCUCUUUGUGCGGUAGUGGAUGCAGUCUGGUGAUUUCUUAAAAUUACGAUCGUCAGGUCACGAUUUGAAAUAAGGAUUGUGGCAAUGCCGCGGCCAUUUACCAGAGAUUCUACCAGCUCCUUAAGAUGUAUUACCGUCUAUUGGUCUCACCAAAGUGUAAUACUUCAUUCCACAGUUUUCGUGUAGGAAUUUACCUCGAUUUCAGGCAACUCCAAUGAGUGUGAGGCUGGGAAUUGCAUUGAUGGGACAUGGUACUGACGCAGAGCGUGGUUUGUCUCUUCAGGUCUCAAUGAGACUCAUGGGACGAAAGAAUUUAGCAUGCGAAGUCCUGCUUCUAGAGGAGCCGAUAGUUGCGCGGCCGCAUUGGUAACAUGUAGUCUAGGUCGUACAGAGGAAGGCAAUGUGGCCGACUAUUCAGGACAAGGGAUACGAAGCUCAAUUUUUAAUUUUCAGAGGCGGUCGCGAAAACGUGCUGUUGCCCCUGAGAAGGCUGUUUCACCUGGUCUCACCUGUAUGUCUGAGCCGUUGCCUCAAGGGGACACGGCUAACGACGUUGAUCUGCCAAAACAGAGCAUAGGGAAACAUUAUUCCCCCCGGAGUUGUGAGUUGCCCUCCAUUAAAUCCCUUGUCUCCGAUGAUGAUGGUGAGGCUAAGCGCACAGCACCACUCGACGGCUUGGAAGAUGUGGGUUUGGAUUCAGUUACUGGAGAGAAGGUUCUUUCCAAUGGCGAUUUUUAUGUCGGUACGUGGCAGGGAAGUUUGCCGGAGGGGCCGGGCAAAUAUUUGUGGGCAGAUGGGUGCAUGUAUGAAGGAGAAUGGGGAAGAGGCAAAAAGUCCGGACAGGGUAAGAUCUCCUGGCCAUCUGGGGCCACUUACGAAGGUGAAUUUAUGGGAGGGUAUAUGCAUGGGUUCGGCACAUACAUGGGAACCGGAGGUACAACUUACAAGGGCCAAUGGAGUAUGAACGACAAGCAUGGGCAGGGUCGGAAGAGGUACGCGAACGGAGACGUUUACGAAGGAGCUUGGUAUAAGGGAGUUCACGAAGGCGUGGGCAAGUACACCUGGGCAAGUGGAAACGAGUAUAAUGGGGAAUGGAGAGGAGGUACAAUGUGUGGUAAGGGGGUAUUAACAUGGGUUAGCGGAGAUAAAUUUGUUGGGCAGUGGCUGGAUGGGUUGGAACAUGGACGCGGAGUAUAUGUGUGGGCAGACGGGAGUUCUUACAUUGGAACUUGGAGUAGGGGCCUGAAAGAUGGGAAAGGUGUGUUCUAUCCUGCUGGUACUCGAGAUUUGCAAGCGACUCGAAACAGUGACGUAGGUGGUGUUUCAAGCUGUGCUCAUUUCAGUGGGGAACUCCGUCCUUUGCGGUGGUCUAGAAGUAGAUCCACAUCAUCUGAAAAGAUUCCUCAUUUCGGAGAACUGUCCAGGAGCGGAGAUCUUACCAACAGUAUCCAGAGACGAUGGAGCAUUGAUGGCCCAGCUGAGAAAGGGCUUGGAUUGGAAGGUUAUGGUAGUGUUCGUAACUCAGACACAAUCCUGGAAGAUGUGGAACGGGGGUCUGAUCGGAAACCAUUGGAAAGUGUCGGAACUCUACCUCCUACGGUAGUUGUGAGAGAAUAUGUGCAGGGCGUGCUUAUGAGUGAGCUGGUAAAAGAGAAUGCGGAAGCUGUGGGUCAUAAGAAGAGGAGGCCUCGCAGAUCUGCUCGGGAAAUCAAAAGACCUGGAGAAACCAUAUUUAAGGGCCAUCGCAGUUAUGACCUUAUGCUGAAUCUGCAGCUUGGCAUAAGGUAUCUUGCUAACCUUUAUAUAUGUAGAGAUUGAUGUUUUCUACAGGUAGUCAUGUUAAUAGAACACUACAUUUGAUUUGUGAAUGUUACCAAAUGAUUAGGUUUCAAACUGGUCUUACUCACACGAAUACUUUGGAUACCUUUUCAGAUGCUUGAGUAUUGUUUUGGUUUCAAUUUUUUGGGUAUAUUGUAGCGUGCCACACGUGUUGUGGAGUAUUGAAUCCAAUUCAUCAUCCGCUUCAAAACAAUUGUACUUGGUAACUGGGGUUGUCAGAAGGUGAGCAGUUUAUUCUUGUAUUUAUAGCCAGAUUUUUUAGUAUUGACUUUUGUGUCUUUCUUCACUGUUACCUCAUGACAGGUAUACUAUUGGCAAAAUUACUCCAGAGCCGAGGCAUGAGAUUGGUCCUAAUGACUUCGGACCUCGCGCCAGUAUACACAUGAAUUUUCCGAAGGCUGGGACGCCAAUGACCCCUAUUCACAGUUCAUCUGAUUUUAAGUGGAAAGAUUACUGUCCUAUGGUUUUCAGGUUUAAUAUCUCUCCUGCCAUGGGUUGAUGUUUUUAUUUUUUUCGUAAACUAGCCCCUUGCAUUAUGGCUCUAUCUAGCCAUGUUUCUCAAAGUGGUUGUUCUAUUUGGUACGUAAUAUUGUCUACGUCAUUGAACUUUGGCGAUGCCAAGUGAUGUUUAUUGCGCAAAGGACAUGAAUAUAGGAAUCAUACAAGCACUUUUUUGAGUUUUGGCAAUUUAAAAACUUGGCAGGCAUUUGCGAGAAAUGUUCAAGAUUGAUGCAGCAGACUACAUGAUAUCCCUAACUGGAGAUGAUGCAUUGAGGGAGCUUGUUUCGCCUGGGAAAAGUGGCAGUGUAUUUUAUCUUUCGCAUGAUGACCGAUUCAUCAUCAAAACGAUGAAGAAGGCAGAAGUGAAGGUGAUCUACCUCGUGUUUUUGGGAAAGAUUAAUAUUAUUGGCGGGAUUCGGUCAUUAGGUGAAAGUAUUUUUUUGAUAUACGUUUGUUACUGCAAUGAGGUGUGUCAUCACAAGUCCUCUUGAUACUGCGAGAUCAGUAUCAUUUAUGAGAUCACUGUCCAACUCCAGUGCACUAAUUUUUUUUGGUUCGCUUAUGUUUUUACAGGUGCUUUUGAGUAUGCUUGCAGCGUACCAUUCCCAUGUGAAAACUUAUGAAAACACCCUCAUCACUAAAAUUUUUGGCCUCCAUCGUAUCAAGCCCUACGGAGGUCAAAAGGUGAAUUUCUUGUUUGAUGCAUUACUUUUUGUGUUAAUUUAAACUUGCGUCUUUGUGUUGAAGAUUAAAGGUCGUUGAAUUGGAUUAGCUGGUAAUGUGCAGCUUAUUAGAAUGCAGUCGAGCAUGUAUUCUAAUUCUACAUUUACUGGGUCUAUUUGAGCUGUCGUAUUGAGUGUACGUUUUAGCAGUAAUUUUGGACGUAUCGUUUCAUUUUUUAAGUUAACGGUAGAGCUCUUGUUGGUGAAUUCGUCAAGCAGCAUGCGUUGUGUUUAAAAUGAACUUCUACGAUUUCUGUCUAUUAUUUCUUACAAUUAUUUUCCUUGAAAUGUUUGAAUGCACCUUCUCUUUCAAUUUGUUAUCAGCAGGAUGCUUCUUAUAUUUUCAACAAUGAUGUUUCUUGAGAUCUAUCACUCGAACACUUUCACAGCAUUGAGCCAGCUAAAUAAGGUGCCUGUUAACAUUGUGCUCACUAUCUUCUCAAGUCUGACUAAGAGUUCACUAAGUUGCAGGUGCGGUUUGUAGUGAUGGGCAACAUGUUCUGUACUGAGCUUCGUAUCCAUCGGCGAUUUGACCUGAAAGGUUCAUCACAAGGGCGCUCUGCUGACAAGGUGGAAAUCGACGAAACAACUACGUUAAAAGACCUGGAUCUCAAGUAUGAGUUCCGACUUGAUCCUUCGUGGCGUGACUCACUACUACGGUACGCAGAUAUCUUGUACAUUGUGAUGCAUUGUUUGCUGAAUGUCAAAAUAUUGCCACUUUUCUCUGCUCUUCUUUUCUCCCCUUCUUCCUUUUUGAGUAGAAUCCCUACGGAAGAUUAUCACAUGUUAAGCACACAUUUGUACAGAUUUACAGUGUAUGUACGUUUCUUGCAGAAAUUUGAAAUAGAUGAGAACAUGAAAAAAGUAGAAAUAAAAUCUCUGAUCAACAGUUUUAGUGUUGAUGGAGUUCCGGAAUUUCUUUCCUUGUUCAUCUCACGUCCAGAAUUGUGGUGAAAGUGAUAAUGAAAGCUUUUCUAGUCUAUGUCUGUCCUGGUAAUUUGUUUGUUCUGUUUGGAGCGUAGUACAUGUUUGGUCAUGCUCUGCCUUGACAUCCUCAAACUUUUUGAACAAUUCGUCUUUGAAUUAAAUGUUCCUAGUUUAUUUCUGAAGUAUAUGAUGUAUUCUCUCACCGCAUUUUUACUUCCAUUACGAAUCAUUUGUCUUUGGGACUUUCUUUAUGCGGGAUGGAUGUGGAUCAUUUCAGGCAACUUGAGUACGACUGCAAGUUCCUAGAAAGUCGGGGCAUCAUGGAUUACAGUAUGUUACUGGGCCUUCACUUUAGAGCUCCUCAGUACAGAACACUUUUGACUCCAGGCGCUUCCUCUGCACGAGAUGUUCCCCCAAACGAAUCGUUUACAAGCACCAAUUUAGACGAAGGUACUCAAUUCGUAUCUUGUUUAACGCUUUGCUCGGUCUUUGCAAUCAUUUUGGAUACCUUAAAGAUCUUACUAGCUGCAAGUUUUGGUGAUCUUACCUCAACAUGUUCUUGCAGUUUUGUCAAUUUUGCCCAUUAUUACCUGCUGAUAAAAUGUAAUCCUUGUUUAUGUUUCCCGUUGUUUACUGAAUGAAAUGCGUUGUGAAGUUUUCUUACAAGUGAAAAUGCAUUCAAUAUUUGUGAUGGGCAAUACAAGGUAUCCAUGUAUGGAAGGAAGAAAUCCUAGUAUGUAGCUCUUAUCUGUAUCAUAUGUUUGAUAUUCCUGUAACUCCUCUAUUUUGUAAACUAGCAGGAGGGGAUGAAGAGUGGGCGAGUAACAGAGGCCUAAUGUUGGUGACGCGAGAUGCCAGUAAUGUUAGCAGCGGAACCCCUGGCAUACAUAUACGGGGAAGUCCUUUACGAGCAUCUGUGGCCGGAGACCCUGAAGUUGAUUUGCUGCUUCCAGGCACAGCUCGGUGAGGAUUUUGUUUGCACUUCUAGAUCAUUUUUGGCACAUGGAUUCAAGAAACUGAAAACUAAAAACUUUAUUUCGUUUAUUAUAUCUUAAUCCAUCUUCUAAUGUCAAGAUGCUCUGGAAUUUGCAAGCUUUGUAAUGUUCUUGAUGCGAUUGUGUUUUCCUUGUUAGCAGAUUGAGAAUACAGCUUGGAGUCAACAUGCCUGCAAGAGCUGAAUGUGUACAUAAAAAGGACAGCGAUGAAUCGAAACCUUCUGAGGGACAACUUUUUGAAGAGUCACAUGACGUGGUGCUAUAUUUUGGCAUCAUUGACAUCCUGCAAAAUUAUAACCUCAGCAAACGCAUAGAACACGCGUACAAGGCUUGCCAGUUUGAUUCGAUUUCCAUAUCUGCGGUGGAACCCAAAUUAUAUUCCAAACGCUUCCAAGAAUUUAUUCGGCAAAUUUUUCCUCCAACUCAUUUGAACGAGUGAGGUUGUCCAGUGCGAACAGCAGUUUGAGAAUCUAUUCUUGGUCAGAGAAUGUGGGAGAGAAUAUCGAGGUGAUAUAUAUAUAUAUAUAUAUAUAUAUAUAUAUAUAUUUCAAAUAACUUCUAAAGUCAUUCAUUGUAAAUGCUUGCUUGAAAGACAGGCACUUUCUUGACAACGUUGAUCGAUCAAACAUUAAUUCUAGUGCUAACCAAUCCGUACUUCACGGUUGGAUGUUUAAUUUCCACGUAUUAUCACCAGAUGAUUUUUCAGUACCCUAAAAAGAUUCAACAAAAUAUCAUUACGCGUCACGCUGUUGUAUAUUUCGGACUAGAGUUUUCAUCAAAUGAUUGAUUUCACGAGUAUCGCGCAUUUUGAAUGAAUGAAACAAAGAUAAUUUGUACUGAUCGCCAUUCAAAUGAACCCCAUCCAUCUCUUAUUACACUCAACGUGAAGAGAUUUGUUUUCAGGUAUAGCCAUCUAAAUAAAAAGUUGUUUAAUCAAAUAUGGUUCCUACCUACAAAUAGACAUUCGCCUCGGAUCAGAUUCACUGACUAGAUCUAUAUUAGAAUUCCAAGAGCUACAAAUAAACUACCGUCUGACUGAAUGUGGACAGUGAAGCAAAUGGAAAAACACAUACUAAUAGAACUUCCCGAAAAGUUUCAGUAGUGAAUGCCACAGGCUCCCACAUACAAGAGUAAAGACAUGCCACAAAUGUACAAUCAAUCACGGAAUGGUGUGAAAUAAUACCCACGCCAUGGUUCAUUUCAUGAAAAAGCACUGGCAUGAAAGAUAACCUCGUUCCUUGUGGUGUAAGACAAUGCUUUGUGUGAUGUCAAGAUUGUGAUAACCUGUCUGCACUCUACUGACUAAUCGCAUACUGCUGCUUCAGCUGUCCAUUGCAAACAUCUGCAAACACGAAGUAUUUGAAUUUAAAACAUCGAAGAGAACUCUUUAAAAGCUCCUUAAACAACAGCUACAACUUGACUUUCAAAACAAACGGCUUAAUUUGGUGACAAGGACGCGAUGACCAACAAAAACAAAUUACCUAACCCCCUAAGUAAAAACUGUCUAGAAAUUCUACUCAUAAAUACUAGGUGGUAUUCUUCUCAGCUUCACGACAACAGUCAGAAGCAAAGAAUCUGAUAUGGUAAGAACACUCAUCCUUUCAAGUAGACAACUUCAAAGGCUCUAAAAUCAUCCAAGGCACGUUGCGAACAGAAACAAACCCCAACAAUCACUAGAAAAGGUAAAGAGAAAUCCGAUGUAGUUUUUGAUAAGUGGCACCAAAAGAAUUUGACAUGAUAGGAAUAAGUCAAGUCUAAUGCAUACCCUCAUAAAAUCACCAAGCAUGCCUUGUACACCACUCCUUCGUUGUAAGUUAAAAAAACGCUCUCCUAUCUCAUCCAAGUACUGCAUUCUCAAUGCAAAUGUAAGUUUGAAAGGGGAACAAUAACAAUAUUAAUAACAAUAAUAAUCAUCAUAAUAAUAAAAUACCUAUCAAAUGAACAUGAUCAAACGAAUAAACCCAGAGAGUACUCAGACAGUGAUUCCCACAUAUGGAUAGAAGAUCUACUGUAGACACAGCACAAAAUCUGAUAUUCAAUACAAAAAUACGCGUUUCUAACAUGACUCAAGAAGUACCUCAUCAAGAGAAGUAUCACGAUCGAGACUAGGUUUGUACUUUUGCCGAAGCAUCUUGAACAACGGUAACGCAUCUCUCUCAAGCCUGAAUACACACCCAAUACGAGAAAAUAUAUAUUUGAGUGCGUUACAUUGAGAUAUCAAUAAAACUUACGUAACACGCUUCGCACAACCAAACAGCUUCAUAAUAAUGCAGAAGUAAAAGGCAUUGCUAAAAGCGUCAACGCCUAGACCAAAAGCGAGCCCUUAAAAGCACGACAGACAAGGCAUAACAUGUCCCAUACGUUAAAAGAAGGAACUUGAUGAAGUGUAGCAGUGGUGUAUCCGGAAGUUCUUGAGAACUGUCGCUAAGUCUCUGCCUUACAGAAUCCCAAAGGCGAUUAGCAUCUCUCAAGUUACCAAGAGAUAAAUACCUGCACAAUAAGCAGCAAUUUGUGAGAACCUAAGUGAAGGAAUUACAGUAAAGAGUAAGAGAGGUGCCUAAGUGGAAGACUUACAACAAGACGGCCCUUGCAACCACCAAAUCUGCUUCGCCAGGAUAGCACUGCAACAUUAGAAAACAACAACAAUAUAAUGGUAAUCGUGAAGAGCUCUUACAAAAUAAGAGAGAAGACCUUCCACGAAAUAGGUUUUAAUACACAAAAGGGAAAGGGAAACUGGCACGAAGUGCACAUUAAAGACCAGUUAAGCUCAGCGUUGGAGGUCGAGAUUUUUAGAUGACGAUACUAACACCCGGAGGAGGAGCAUAUACAAAUAGAAAGAAGCAGCUACAUGUAGCUACAGAAAAUACAACUCCUUGAGCACGUUAAAAUGCUUCAAGGCAUGUAAGCGAUUAGUCAUGAAUUGAUGAGCAGUACCUUGUCCAUGCACUCAACCACUACUUUAGCGAAUGUCUCAGGCUGGUUCCCUCGCACAAAAUGUUGUGAUGCUUUCAUCGUUUCCUGCAGAAAAAGUACCCAAAUAUCAAAAAUAGAAAUGCAACAAGCAGAUUCAGCCUGGGAAAGCUGAUUUUACAUCAUCACAGAGCUUUUGAGCUCUAAAUAAUUGAUAAAUAUCCGAACACAAAGAUGUCAACGAAUACUCUCAAUAGUUCAUGUUCUAAAGCACAAACACUGCUCCAGCAAAGCAGGAUACCGAAAAUUUGUUGCUUAACAUACAUAUACUACUUAUUACAAACAUUCUCCAAACUUAUGACUACUUUCAAUAUUUCGUGCCAGGUGGAUGCCCUGCAAAGUGCCAAAUGGUUCUCUUCAUUUAUUAAGCAAAAAAAUAAAAUGUCAUUUGAAUGCAUCUAAACGUCAUUGUUGCUUAAGAGAACGAAGAGGCCAUUAGCAGGAAUUCACAAGAGAAACUCAUAGGAUCUUCGUAUAGUACACAUACGGGGUGGGGAGAUUCAGUCCAAAUGUAUUCACCGAGCAUGUCAUGCAACUCAGGAGCACCUCUAGGAAAGCCUCCGGUCUCUAUCGACCACCUGCAGAAGGUAACAGUGAAUAACAAUGUCAGUGAGCUUCAUUGUGACGGAAAAUGAGAUCGCGGGCUUGAAAAGUACUUAACUGUAAAUAAAAAAAUAGUUAACAAACGAAGAUGUAACUGGUCAAAAGUUUUCACAAAAACAAAAAUCUGUACUUUAGAGCUGAUCGUAGAAACGAUGUGCAUCCCUCCACACGGGUCUUUGCAAUAACUGCGGCCUCAGAAGAUUCUACGCCUAAGUUACUCGUGUCAUUGCUGGAAGAUUUCUCUUGUCGAGUACCAGCAGUCCGUGGAUAUGCAUUAUAAAUUGUUCUUAUUUGAUCUGGCACAAAAACAAGAACAACCAUAAAUAACCUAAAGAUAAAAUAAUAGAAAAUAGACUUAGAAAUUUCACAAACAGAAAAACAAAAUAUAAUGCCCAGCGUAUUCAAACGAAAGUAAGAAGCGCCAUAGACAACGGUAGCAAAUUGAAAAAGUUUCAACCACUAUUUAAAUGACCAUUAGAGACAGAAGAUAUGUGCAUACCCAGUGUAGAGCUAUCAAAAGGUAAUUUUGCUACAUUGAAAGUCUGUAUCAAAAGCACACCAAGCUCUGUCCCACACGUGACCUGCAUUUGGAACAACGUGAUAUCAUUUGAGGCAGCCCCGCUAGACAAAAGCUAAAUUUUUUAUUUCAUACUGAUCUAAUCGCCCAAACAUCGGUCGAUGAUAUAUGAUAGCUUCAUAACCUUCUUACCCUAUUCAUUCCGUUAAUUUUAUAUUUCAUUCGAUAUGUACCACAGUGGAAAUCGGGGGUGAAUGGAUACCUCCCCAUGAUUGAGCAUCGCUACUGCACCAGAGUUCAAGAGUUCAAUAGCCUCGUUGUACUUCUUGGCAUGCAUGUAUCUAGCAACAUGCACAGCGACCAACCCACCUCGUUACACGGAAAACCAUGAAAAGGCACCAGACAGCCCCGCAGAUGCACCAAUUAGCUUGUCCUUAGGUCAGUGAACUCAUCCGUAUUUCACCACAAAUCAGCAUAAAACUGAAAACACCAAGAGAAUUUUGAACAUCUUCCAAACAAUAAACAAACAAACAACUUUGGAUUCACAAAUUUGCAAAUCCAAAACAUUGAAUGCCGGCCAUUAGUUCCGACCAAGUCUACAGUCACAAAGAUCGGAACGACGAUUUAUGCUAUCCAGGGAACAAAUUCCUAGACAGUUGAGAUGAUCGAUUUGAAAGGAGGAGGAUAAGAUGUGGUUCAGAAUUCACCUACUAGUCCCCCAUCAAAUCAACGAUCUGGAAACGGUCCAACACAAGCGAUCUCUCUAUGAAAGUACCAGCAUGAAAGCACCAGAUUCGAGUGCAAGCGCUACCUGGAGUGGAUAGUCUUGUACAUUUGUUGAGCCUCAUAGUAGUUCCCCUCGUGAACCCUCUUCUCAAGCUUCUCCAAUUGCUGAAAACCACGCCAAAUUCAUGGAAUCAGCUAAGCCCAGCACCGAUCAUAUGAAUUCUUCAUUGAGACCCAAAAAAACCAACAAAGUGGAACCUAACAAUGAUCCCCUUAUCUAAGGUGGAUUCACCACUGAUACUGAAUGGACCCUAACAACAACAACAACAGCAACAAAAAAAAAAAAAAAAAAAAAAAAAAAAAAAAAAAAAAAACAAUUUUAUUUUUAUUUUUUUAAAACAAAAACACACACACACACACACACACGAGAGUCAGUGCGUGAGAUGAAACGUGCCUUGGAAGUGCCGCUGCUAGAUGCAGCGACAACCAUCUUGCUCCACCUGCUGCUGUUGCUGUCCAAUUCUACACUCUGCGCAGUAUAUACAAUCCACACGAAACCCUAAAAACUGAACCCCAAUGUGCAACUUCCUCGCGGAACACAAAUGAUAUCUGCAAACUGGGAAUAGUUAGAAAUGUUGCGAAUUGAGUUGGGUGCUGAGUGGAAUGAUCGACGACGAAACGAUAGUGAGGGGAAGAAGGGGGCGAGAGCUUCAACAUCACAAUACACCAGGCCUGGCCUUCUUCCUCAUGCGGUGUUACAAACAACUCUCGUUCAACCAGUACAACAUUCGCCCCUCGUGGAUGAAUGGUACACAUUCGUCUCUCUUUUCUGUCCUGUGGAUGCUCUUCAUCUCUUUGAUGCCACCAGCAACAAUAUUAGGGUAAUUCCGGGCAGGUUCGCGACCCAGGGCCUUUACCCGCUUCAUCCCUGCCCGAGCGGGCUGAUCAUAUUUUUUACCUGCCCGGAAAUGCUGAGUGAAGCCCUAAGUUAUUUAUAAAUAAAAAACAUAUAUUUUUACUUAGUUUUAUGUUUAUUUUAAGGCGAAAUUUUUUGGUUCAAAGAAAAAUUAAGGAAAUUCGAUGAAUGAGUUUAAUUUUCAAGCAUUUAAAAUUUUCUCUUAUAUUUAGAUUCAAACUUGUUAUGAGAUUUUACUAACUAAAGCAUAGCGUGUUGUCUUUCUUGUUGUUUAAAAAAAGAAAAAAGAAAAAAGAAAAAAGAAGAAGAGUUUCGAUCUGAGUUUCUCUCUUUCUCUCUCUCUCUCUUUCUUUUUCUUUUUUUUUUUUUUUUUUUUUUUCCUUCUACUUCUGAGAAGGUUUUGUUAUUAUUAGAAUAUUUUUGAAAACAAAAAAUAUUAGAGACCAAGAUUAAGUUAUUUCCAAAUUAAUGGUGGUAUGACAAGCAUUGUAAAGUUUAAUUUAAUCCUUCUUUUAAUAACAACUUUAUAACCACAUUUUUCCUUGAAGGUCAUUCUUAUAUGUCUCCACUUAAAAAGUGGUUCAUAAUAGCAUUCUACAAUACUGUAUAAUUAACACACUUUGUUUCUUAAUCUACAAAUGCUGUACCACAUUGUAUAAUAAUUAAUGUUUUUAUGAAAAAUAUUUGUUAAAUUUCACUAUUUAUCUCUUUGUAAUGCUUAAAAACCCCACAACAACUUAUUACUAUUUAAUUUAUCUUUAAAGAUGGAUUAAAAAAAUUAUACAAUGACUUUAUUCAUCUCUUGAAAAGUUUAAUAGAAUUUACAAAUACUUAUGCACCAAAAUAAUAUAUAUAUAUAUAUAUAUAUAUAUAUAUAUAUAUAUGUUUUCUAGUGGAAAUCUAUGCUGUUGGCCACAAAAAAAUUGUGAAAGUUUAAUUUGUGAUUUUUUAGUAAAAAAUUGACCACUCCUAAAAAAAAUGUUGAUCAAGCAAAAAAGAAAAGAAAAAAGAAUAUUGAAAAAAGAAUAUAUGCAUAACAAUGGAACCAUUUAUGUUCUACAGUGUAAUUGAAAAACACAAUUUUUAUUUACUACAACUUAAAUAACUUAGUUAAAAAAAACUUUUAAAUAAACUAUAUUUAUGGUGGUAUUUUAAUAUUUAUUUUUUUUAGGAUAUAAGAUCUUAUUUAUAUUUGGAAAAAGUAGAAAUUUGUGCCAUUGAGUACCAAAAAAUGUUCUUGUGUAUUCUUGUGAGUUUCUAUGGAUUCCCAUGCAUUUCCAUGAGUUCUUCAAGUUCCCAUGUGUUUCCAUGCAUUCCUUAAGUUCUAGAAGGUUCUUUUGCAUUUUUUUAGGUUCUUGUUACAUGUAACUAAUUAUUUUUUAAUUUUUUUGGUGUUGUGGUUGAUUGCUCUUAUAAAACAUGCAUUAUCAAUAAUUCAUUGUUUAAAAAUCAGUGUGUUUAUUAGUUCAUUGUUCAAAAUUAGUCUUAUCAUUAAUGUUGUAUAAAAUAUGUCUUAUCAUUAAUUUUUGUUCAAAAUCAAGUGGAAUUUUAUUUUUUUGGUUUAUUAAAAAUGAUUAAUUUUUUUUGUUUAUAAAUUAAUUUGAUAUCAUAAACACUAGCAACAUGGACAUGUAAAGUAAAAAAUGAGUUUUUUUAAUAAAAUAAAGUAAAAUUUCUAAAUAGGUUCAUUUUCAUUAUUUAAAAUAUGCAAUAUCAAAAAAAAAGAUUGCUUCAAAUUUCCACAUUACAUAAUAAACUAAUGCAUUUUUUUUGUUCCCUUUUUGUAUUUUACGGUUAACAAAUUUAAAAAAUACAAUGAUCACAAUGAAAAAUCAAAAUCAAAAUCAAAGAAAUGAGAAAAAAUUAUUGGAAGUUUAAAAUGCAUGUAGUUUAAUUUUCUUAUAAGAGGUAUUUGUUUUCAACUCUCAAAUUUAUGCAUGCUGCUUGUUUCAAAUAAAUUUACUUUGAUUUUCUUCCUGGAAUCUCCUCUUGAAAUGAAACCAAACAAACAGACCAAAUCAUUUGUUGUAGCAGAUAACAAUUCCAAUCCCUCUUAUUGAAGUUCUUGCAAUCCAAGAGGAAUCAUGGAAACAAACUCAGUGCUUUGCAAUUACAGACAAAGUCUACAAAAUUGAUAAUAAUGCCUUUUUUUUUUUUCUUUUUUUUUUUUUUUUUUUUUUUUUUUUCCGGCUGUGGUUAGCUUGGUUGUUAGCAUCAUAUUACUGACAAUGAACCAAUCAAGCUUCUAGGUCUCUAAUCCCACAAACUCAGAAUUUCAACGCUAUCAAAGCCUUAAUUAGUGGCUUUAAAGCAAUUGCAAUCAUUAGAUGGUUUUGCAAUGUGAUUAUUGUUUGUUCCAUAUUCAGUGUUUCCAAUUCUUGUCAAAAGGAAGGAGUCUUUAACUUCUACAAAAUUAAACAUGACUUACAGAAAUCAUAUGCAGUAAAGGCAGGUAGUUCUUAGAAUCAUUUUUUUGCAAAUGCUUUCAUCCAACCCAUAGAUUCAUGUAGACUGAUCUGUACUUUGGCAUUGAAACACACAAACAAUGCAAAGGGACUGGAAUGAGUUUGUACAUAGCUCCCAAAGUGAUAACUGCUUAGAAAUUGUGAAUGGACCCUUUGAAACUCAAUUUUUGCAACUGCCUGUCCCACAAUCUGUUCCUUGUUAGCACCAAAUUACUUAAUAAUGUUGGAUUCAAUAGCCACACAGUGUGUCUCAAGCAACAAUGUCCUCACAAAGAAUAACAUCAUCAUUGCCAUUCUCAUGUAAAUUUUCAUAGUUGAGAUGGGAGCCACAACUUGUGUUAAAUGCAGCAUUUCAGAUCAACAAUGUCUUCAUAGAGCAUGAGAAAGAUCCUGGAUGCAAGUUUAACAAAUUCCAUUGAAAUACAUAAGAUGUUUGAACAGUCACAAUAACUACAGAUGCUGGACAAAUUUAUGUGAAGACCUAAAAAAUUGUGUUUGCAAGAUCUUUUAAGAUUCACACUCAAAUAAAGAAAUACCUGGUUCUACAGUGACAAACAAACUAGAAAAAAUUGAAGUAAUCAAAUGUGAGAUCCACCAGAUAAACAUCAUGUAAUAAACAUACCUUUGUAUAUCUACCCCUGUUUUUCUACAUCUUGUUUAGCUACUACCACAAGAUAAGAUACUUAUAAAUAAGUCUCAACAUUGUUCUUACAACAACACUGUUAUACAAAUACUCUCAACUUGGCCUAACUUCAGUUGAUUUCCAUGCUGAUUCCUGUAGAUUUGUUUUGUAAAAAAAAAUUAGUCAAUUUAACUAGUUGACUUGAAUAUCUUCAACUGGCAUUUAUAAAUAUAUUAUUUGAAUUUUUUUGCUAAAUUAUAAUCAUUUGAAAUCUUGUAUUUGUUGUAUAUAAAUUAAUAUACAAAAUUUUUAAAACUUUUAUAUUAAUUUAUAUAUAUAUCUUAUAUUUGUUGAGAUUUAACCUUCAAAAGUUGUUGUAUUUAAAUAAUAAUUUUGUAAGGUCUUUUUUAGCUUUAUUUUAUAUAUGUUUUAUCCUAGAAACAUUUUGCUUCUAAUCACUAGAAUAAUACAACUUGAUAUGCAAAUAAUAUCUCUUUCUAAUCUUACAUAAAGAAUCUAAUUUAAAAAUUUAUAAUAAGAUGAGAUUCAAUACUUAAAAUUUGUCUUCUUUAUAGAUGAACAUAAAAAAAAUAUGUCUAAUAUACUCAAUGCAUCUAAUAGAUUCAUUAUGCCCUGAUUUCCUGUCAUUAAAUAUACAAUAAAACUAACUAACAAAAAUCCCUUAACAUGUAUAUAUGUACGUAGCACUGAUUCUUAUAACAAAACAAAAGCCGCUAUUGUUGAUUACAUUUGAGGCAAAGAAUUGAUCUCAAAAUUCUCAGUUUAUUUUUAUUCUCCAAAGUACAAAAAAAAUUGCAUCUAUUUAUUUAAUUUUAUUAUAUAAUAAUAAUAUAUUGCACUUUAAACCAUAAAAUAAUGAUAUUUAAAAGACACAUACUUUACAAAACUAAUAAAAGUUCUAACAUUUGUAUCAUGGCUUGUGUAUUCCUUUGAGCUGACAGUUAGCUGUUAUUUAUUGUUACGAUUUAAAUCAUGUUGUGCAUACUUGUGUGAUCUUCCGUUUCAAUGAAGCACCACAUCUAGCUACACACAAAAAAAAAAAAAAAAAAAAAAAAAUCAUGAAAAUUUAAAGGUGAAGAUUGAAUAGACUCCAAACUCACCUAUUAAUUCUGGUAAGAGAUCAGGUAUCAUGUUGAAUGAAAUCAGAACAUAAUGAAUCAUGCAACUAAGACAAGACUAUCGUGUUGUGUUUGAGAAAGGAUGCAAAUGUAUGAUUUCAUAGCAGAGGAAUUCAGAAAAUGAUUUCCAUAGUUGGAUAAUUCAAAAUGGGGUAAAAACUCAAAGUUUCAGUAAGAGGACGUACAAAGCUACUGCUUUUUUGUUUGUUUUCGUGAGCAGUUCCUCGGUGAACCUUCUCAGAAUUCUUCAACAGAGCAUGCUCCAUAACUUUACUAGCUUGAAAGUUCAAUAGUACCAGUUUUUUUUAAGACAACCCACUGGCCUUCGUCUGACCUCAGAACAUUGUCAUUAAGCGAAUCUCCUAGUUUUGAUAAUCACAAGAGCCUGCGCCACCAUUUUGGUCAUUGCCGACGGGUCUGAAUAAAACCCAUGCUGUAUGCUGUAACCUUUGCUGCUAAUCAUCCCAUAUACUGAUACCAAUUCCUCCAAACAGCUGUGCAAUCCGGACGACUACCAAGUCUUGUUGUGCAAUGUUGGCAGGUUCAUAUCAAAACUGAACAUCACAUGUAGACAACUAUCCUCACAAGUGGAACUAAAACAACCUUCACCUUAAAGUGGAUAAAAAGAAACCUCUCAUAGAUUCAUGACAUGUGCUCGUGACGUACCAACGCAUGAUUACUUAACACUGUAAAUAUAACAUAGCAUUCUGCCACAUUCCUCACCCGGGUGCGACUCCCGGCCGUUACAGGUGCAGGACGUCACACUAACUGGAAUAGCUCAGUUGAUUAGAGGGGGGGGGGGGGAGAGCGGCGGCUCGGUCGCCAUGAAAAUCGGAGGUGUAGAACCGCCUUUUAAGGAAACAUGAUCUCUCUUGCAUUUUGAGUGUUAGUUAAUCCUCACAGGAAUCUUCAUAGUUUUUUGAUUUCCUAGGGGAUCUAGAAACACCGCCCUGACAAAAAUUACGAGCUUGUAGAACUUAAUUUUAUUCAAAAUGGUUCGCACUAGAUCUCAGAGUCUGUUGGACAGGCCUAGAGCGGGCUCAGAGCCAAACAAUCGUUUGCCCCCGAGUUCAGAAGAGACUACAGUAAUGAGGAACACCACAUUUAGGAAUAGCAAGAGAUUAGAAUCUCAAGCCCGCCAAACGUCUGGACCAAGUAAUGCGGCAAAAUAUAAAAUGGAUAGUACUCAGCUAUGUGAAAGGGUGAAUGCAAGGAAAGCACAGGAGGAAGGGACCAUAGCGAAGUAAUGGAGCAAACAACACCAACUCAAUGUGACAGUCACGCAAGUAAGCUCUUCUCACACUUUCUCGGAUUGCCACAACGAAGAAAUGAUUCACAACAGUCUAGGAACUAUUACCAAAGCAUCCAUGGGCAAUUUCCAACUAGAACCGUAUGCUUGCCUGAAUGAGAUAUCCAAUCCACUACAACAAGACAACAACCAAACAGUGGAUAGACCAAAGGUUAACUCUUCACUGGACAUAGCAGAAGAUCUUUCAAACUCAAAAUGCCAAGUUAACUCCACCUUUCUCGUCGAACCAUAAACAUAGCUAUAUCACGAUGGCAAUUCACCAUAGAUAAACCAGAAGGCGAUUCAUCGGAAGCAACAUUAUUCAAAUCCUCGGAGAAAGGUCAGACACCACUUAUUACAAAAACAAAAACUGAACCCACACAGUAAUUGUUGCCUUCAAGAAAUAUAGAACAAAAUACACCCCUUGCCUCCAUUCUAGAUGAACCCGAUCCCAUUGAUGUUUCCAACAUGGAGGCAAAGUAAUAAGUCUUAGUGACUCAAUUCAUCUUAAACAUCAAGAAAAUGAUUUUGACACAUUGGAUGGAAAUUGAGUAAUACAUUGAGUAAUACAUCAAAGAAAUGAUCUAGACACGUUGAAUGGAAAUUGAGCACUACAUCAAAGAAAAUCAACAUCUAGACCUAAUCCACAAGGCUACAAUAAAAGAAGAAUUACUAGAACUACUAAAUAAGAUUUGACUAGACACUGAAGUUGUUAGAACAGCCUAGAGAAUCACCUCUAAAUCUUUAAGUGGUUCUCAAUUGGCUCCCAUCUAUGUUUCAAGUAUACAACUAUUGACUAGCACACAACAAAGACUAUGAGCAGAAGCCAUGAGUAUGUAAGCAAAGGCACUAAUAUGUCAUGCCAGAUAUAAUCUGGGUCCUAGACUCCUUCAUGAAUGGACCACAAACAUGCUUUAUAAAUCCUUUGAAACUCUAACUAUGUUGAAAGGAGACUUCUUCAAAAUUGUAUCCAAAGAAGGAGGUAACCAGAAUGCGUUAGUACAACUGCAUUACUUCAAACAAAUGGAAAUUCUUCGCAUGCCCUGGAAACCAAACUUCAUUGUAGGAUUUAUGGAAGGAAUAAUCAAACUAGCACAUCUAACAUGGGCUCAAAUCCACAAACUUUUCAUAUUGCUAUGAUUAAUACAAAUAUUAACAAAAAUCAUUAGUCCAAUGGCAGAGGUAAUUUGUGUGGAAACAAAAAGCCAUUAUUGGAAGAAAGCUACAAGCCUAAUGUGAGCUAAAAUAAACCUCCACUAAUUGGAAGUUUAUUCUAACUCACAAUAAGUGAAUUAACCAUAUGAAUUUAAAAUAAAGCUAUUAUUUAAAUUCUAAUCCACUUAUUACUUGUCCUUCUUAAAACACCAAGUUAUUAAUCAAAUCUUCUAACAUCACUCACAUUCACAAUGAUAAUUCACUCCUUGACUUCAUGCAAAACAAUUCCUUCUUCUACUUUUAAUUAGAUAAUUUAGUUUAAUUUUUAAUUUAAUUUAAUUUUAAUUUAAAAUUUAUUAUUUUUUUAUUAGGUCAUUUUUUAUUAUUUUAUCAUUUUUUAAAAAUAUAUAAAUUUUUACUUCUUAAUUAAUUGAUGGAAAAAUUAAUUAAUUAAGUUAUUAUCCUUAAUCCAUAGUAAUUAUAAAUUUUUUAAAGGUUGGGUUAAAAAUUAAAAAUUAAAAGUAAAGUUUAAAAAGUAAAAGUAAAAGUAAAAUAAAAAUAAAAUAAAGGUUAAAAAAUAAAAAAUAAAAAUAAAAGGGAGAAGAUGAGAAGUUAAAAAUUAAAGCCAAAAGUGAAAUAUAGAAGUUAAAAUUUCCUGUAAAAAAAUAAAAAUAAAAUAAAAUAAAAGAAAAAAUAAAAUAAAGAGAGGUACCAGUGGAAGUACCUUAACAAUGCCCAAGGAUUGAAGGAAGUACCCCCCUUUUACUCCAAAAUUUUCCAAAAAUCCAAAUUAGCUCCAAAUAUAAGGAUUUUUGUUGCAAUGGAAAUUUGACUUCAAGGCGCUCUUAUUACAAAACUUUCGUAGCAAUCUAGUACUUAAGCUGCGAGCAAUGCUUCUUCAAAGUUGGGUCAUUGGGUCUGCUGCUGCAGCCGACCCCCCUUCACUCAAAAAUUUGUUAAAAAUUCAUAAUUGCUUUAAAUGUAAUGAAAUUUACACCAGUGGAAGCUCAUAUUAAAGCUUAUUUUAUUCCAAAAAUUUCAAAAUGAUCCCAUUUAGUGAAACUGAGGAAUGUCUUUUCAAAAUUGGGUUAUUGAAACUGCCAAGGCAGCCACCCCCUUUGCACUCAAAAAUUCACCAAAACUUCGGUUCAACUCCAAAUUGAGCAAGCCUUAGCUUGUUGGACAGCUUAUAACAAGGGCUAUGUGAUGAAAAAUAUUCAAUCACAAAUCAUAAAAAACCAAAAAUUUAUUGAGGAAAAUCAGAGGCCCCUCAAACCCUUUUGACUAUGGAAAUAGUUAGUGACCACUAAUUGCAAAGAGGUGCCUUUUAAACCACAACAAGCACCACCUACAACACAAAAACAAUGCUUAUAUGGUUUUAAAGUUCACAAUGAGAUCUAAGAUAAAAAAGAAGCAAAAAAAUAAGAUUACGGUUAGAGUUGAGGCCACACGUUGGUAUGGCUUUGCCUUCAUCAAAAGAAAGUGAGAGAGAGGCUUGGAAAACCAAACCACUCUUAUACAAUUGAGUGGUGGCUUGUGGAAGGGCUGCCACAUCUCCACCCUUGAUCUCGAAGAUCCCUAAUGUAGAUCUAUGGCCUUCCUUCAUCUAAGAGCUAAUUUCGUGACUAAGGCUGAUGGCUCUUGUAAGUAGAAAAAAAACACUUUUUGAUAAAUCUAACUUAAUCAUUGUGUUUAAAAUAUCUUUUUAUGCUAAGAUCGACUACUCACAUGAUUGAAUUUUUAUGCUAAUAUUGACUACUCCUUUGCAACUUUUAUGAAAGUUUUUUACUUAUAAGGAUUUAGGCAAUCUUUAUAAAAUUCUUCAAAAAAUGAGAAUUUUAUUUCUCUACUUGCAUUUCAAAGAAAAAGAUGCUGAUCUUCUUUUCUUCACUCCACAUGGUGCAUUUGAUGCCUCCAUUGCAUUUGAAAGGCUUCCAUAAAUUAGAAGAAUCACUUUACUGCUUGGAUAUGUUGAAUUUAGAAAAAAUCUUCAAAUCCAUCAUAAUUAAACCUCAUUAGAUUUUCUUUUUUUUUUUUUUUUUUUUACACCAAGACUACUUUCUUUGUAAUUCAUCUACUACUAGCUAACUAAAAAAAUAUAGUCUUUAUAGUUUUUUCUUGUUAGACUCUAUCCUAAAUUGCAUGUCUGCUAAUAACAAUCUAAUUUCUAUUUUUUCCUAAAAUUCUAAUAUUAAUUCAUAAAAUUUAUGUUUUAAGCACAAUAAGUAUAUUUUUUAUACUAAAUAUCAAAGUGAGUCAAUUCAAUGGCUCACAUCUAAAGAUUUGAAUUCUAAUACACAAUAUAAACUCCCUUCCAACUACAAUAAACAUUCUAGAUAUUCAAAGCAGAGACUUAACAAAAUACCACAUCAAAUACAAUGGCCUCUCCACCUAAAGCAAUAGGUAUAUGGGAAGAAAAAAAAAACCUACAAUUCUAGUAGCUAGAUAUCCCUACUCUGAGGAGCAAUAAGUUAUAACUGAAAUAAGACUGGAUUCUUUAAGGUCUAAAACCUUACCAAUUUUAUAACAACAAAGAUCUCAAUAUAAAAUAAUUUUAAGCUUAUCAAAAUAAAACUGAAAAUAACUAAAUAGAAUAGAACAUGAAAGUCAGAACUAAGUAAAAGAGAACAAAAUUAAAUAGAAUCAAACAAAACGAAAUAAGAAAAAACAACCAAACUUUAUUAAGAGAAAGAGUUUGAAGCCAUACUUGAUCCAAUGCCCAAAUGGCCUCAGCUAGUCCUAUUUAUACUUCAUUCAAUUAUCUUAGAACUUUCUAGAAUAUCCCUAAUAGUAGGUCCUACCAAGAUAACUAUCCUUUUAGAAGAUUUUAGAGAUAGGCCCUACCAUGAUAACCAUCCUAAAUCUUUUUAGAAGGUUCCAUAGUGGAUCCCACAUGAAUCACCAUCUUAACAUCAAUUCUGGAAACUUUCCAAAAAUGACUCUAACUAUAUAUUUCUAUGUGCAAAUAAUACAAAUAUCCUAUCCAUACCCUAUUACAUCUAAUUCCCAUCUACUAAUGCAAAACGUCUUUAUUUCACUCUUGAUGGUAUUUCCAAAUGAUUUCGUAACAAUAAGUGAGGUUUUGUACAAGUUCUUCUAUUGCAUUGUAGAUGGGAUAACCUUUCUAGAUAACUUUGUAGUAAAAUUAUAGACAUCCAUUACUAUGGCAAAGAUAGCGAUGCUCCAAAAUACUAUCUAGUUCAUAUUCCUAUUGGUCAUCAAUUACAAUUAGUGGUGAUGGUGGUCAUUAGUGUCGGUCUAAAAAGCAUCUUGGUUCAACAUGAAAUUUUUUGAGGUGCAAAAUAUAAAAGAAGAGAUAAACCAAAAUAUGUAGUAGAACCUUGAUGCGAUAUACAAUAUAAAAAAUUUCUACAAAAAUGUGGAAAGGUCUAAGCCAUUGAGGUAUUUGCUUACGGUCUUAGGUUGAUGUAGUAAGUAGAACGUUGUCAUGUUGUAACUCGACUAUAUGAUGAAAGAUGAUAAUAUGGAUCUCAUUAUAGAAGAGCCAAGUUAAAAGAAAAAGUAAAAAAAUAUGGAUAAAAGAUAGGAAGGUAGUAAAAUUUUUAGUAGUAAUGCUAUUAUUUUUAGAAAAAAUAGCUUCUACUUACUUUGUAGGGUCAAAAAUAAGAAAAAAUAAGGUAGAUUAGAAAAAUAAAUGAUAUAGACAUCUUUAGGAGGAAGUUAAGAGUAAAUUCUAGUAACAAUUACUUAGAAAAACUAGAUGUUGUUACUCAGAGAAGGCUAGUUAUGAACCAGGGUCAAAAUCAGAUCCUGAGGCACAAAAUCGAGUCUUGACGACAACUCUGGGACUCUUUGGUAAAUUGGAGAGUGGGAUUUGAUAGUAGAUUGGAUAGGAUUUCUAUGAGCAUUGGUUUUGGGUAAUUUGGAUUUGUAUUAACUUUGUAAGAGCUUUGCAAAAUCAAGGUUUGUUUUGGAUGACUUGGAUUUUGUGAAAUAAAAUAGGAUUUAUAUUUUGGGUGAUUUCAAGAGUUUUGUAAUAGAUCUAUCAGUGAAAUUUUGUGGAUUAAUGGUUAUAGUUGUGUUCAAUAUAUAUUAUAAAUUUGAGCUCGAUCUAACGGUUGAAUUGAGGUUUAUUGAAGUUUAAGUGAGUCAAGGUCUCAGAAAGUAGAAUUUUAGGUCCAGUGAGGAUUUUCAAGAUUUCUUAUAAUUUAUUCAUUGAAUUGGAGUGAAAUUUGUAUAAAAAGAUAUUAGACUUGUUUUUCUAUGUGUAUGAGAAUUUUUAGAUCAAUCAAAUGGUGAAAAGGAGAGAUAUUGGCUCUGAGAGAUUGGCAUCAAGGUUGGAGAAGGAGGCCAACCAAUACCCAAGCACAUUUUUGAGGUUAUCGUCUAUUUGAUAAUUCCGAUUCUUUUCAAACUUUUUGUGCUUAUUUUCAACUUAGUUUUUGAGAAGAGUGCAAAAUUUGAAUUAAAAUCGAUGGUUCAUUCAUUACUUAUUAAAGUUUAAAUCUGUUGUAGAAAUUACUAGGGUUUGGUUGAGGUUUGGUUUAGGAUUUGUUUAGGAUUUGGUUAGGGUUUGGUUUAGGGUUUUAUUUAGGAUUUGGUUUAGGAUUUGGUUAGGAUUUGAUUUAGGAUUUAAGAUUUAGUUUAGGAUUCGGUUGAGGUUUGGUUUAGGAUUUGUUUAGGAUUUGAUUUAGGAUUUAGAAUUUGGUUAGGAUUUGGUUUAGGAUUUAGAGUUUGAUUGGAGUUUGUUUUAAGGUUUGUUUAGGUUUGGUUUAGGAUUUAGAAUUUAGUUAAGAUUUGAUUUAGGAUUUGAUUUAGGGUUUAGGAUAUAGGGUUUGAUUUAGGAUAUAAGGUUUGAUUUAGGGUUUUUUUAGGGUUUAAGAUUUAGUUAAUUUUUGGCCUAAAGUUUGAAUGAAGUAAGAUUUCCACUAGGAUUAAAUAAAGAUUAAAUUGAGAUAUAUUUGAGAUAUGUUUGCAAUCAUUCUAAUAUUUCUUUAAGAUUUCUUAUUAUUUCUUUAGAAUUCCUUUGAGGUUUCUUUGAAUUUGAUUAAAGCUUGUUUAGUAUUGUAAGUGUUCUAUUAGAAUUAAGAUUUUAUUGUUGCAAUUUCCAUUCUACCUUCUUUAGCUAGGUACCUAGAUCAUUCUCAAGUAAGAUUUCAUGUAUUACGACAACGUUAGUAUUGGAGAGUAAUACUUGCUCAGCUUCUCGAAAGAUCUUAUAUUAUUGGUGGUUAUCUGUAUAUUAUUCUUAUCAAUUAUAUGUAGUAAAGAGAUAAUGUCAUGCUUCUUGCAAGGCCAUUAUAAG
Molecule: long non-coding RNA, 43609 nt
Filed under: Physcomitrium patens
Lineage: Eukaryota; Viridiplantae; Streptophyta; Bryopsida; Funariales; Funariaceae
Description: long non-coding RNA (PPAT_LNC007206)
Source: RNAcentral